This 368-nucleotide ribosomal RNA is filed under the name uncultured organism. Its description in RNAcentral is "bacterial SSU rRNA". It matches the Rfam family "Bacterial small subunit ribosomal RNA", at positions 45 to 433 of the family's 1533-position model. The record is from RNAcentral.
UGCCUUAGGCAUGCAAGUCGAACGGUUUCCGUAAGGAAGCAGUGGCAGACGGGUGAGUAACGCGUAGGAAUCUACCUCUAGGUGGAACAUAGCUCAUCGAAAGAUGGGGUAAUAUUCCAUGGUACCGCAAGGUUAAAGGGCUUAACUGCCCGCCAAGAGAUGAGCCUGCGUCCUAUCAGCUUGUUGGUGGGGUAAUGGCCUACCAAGGCGACGAUCAGUAGCCGGCCUGAGAGGGUGUCCGGCCACACUGGGACUGAGACACGGCCCAGACUCCUACGGGAGGCAGCAGUGGGGAAUAUUGCGCAAUGGACGAAAGUCUGACGCAGCGACGCCGCGUGAGCGACGAAGUCUUUCGGGAUGUAAAGCUC